Non-coding RNA from Benincasa hispida (wax gourd), 1470 nucleotides. NCBI's taxonomy places the organism in Eukaryota, Viridiplantae, Streptophyta, Magnoliopsida, Cucurbitales, Cucurbitaceae. The record is from RefSeq and is a predicted model, not a curated record.
UCUUUAUUAAAAAAAGAAAAUAAAAUAAAUUAUAAACCCACUCCUCAUUCAUUUCCCAUCUGCUUUUCAAGACACUAAAGACGCGCCACUCACCAUCUCCGUCAAGGGUCUGCCAUUGUUCACCUGCAGCGGUUCGUCACACUGCCGCCAUUGAGUCAACAGCCGUUGUUAAUCACUGUCGUUGAAGCCAGAUGUCGCACAGCCUGUACGAGAUGAUGCUCGCCAUGGGUCGUUGGAGUCACUCGCGCCUCCGCUUCCAGUCAUCGACCGGCGCGUGCUACUGCCGAUUCAUUACGGAUAAGUCUAUCUCUCUUUGAGUCUGAGUUUUUCCAAACAACGUUACCCACGAAUGGGGUUGCUCCACUGCUGCUUUCAAGUUAUGCUUUCUUCCGAACAUUCCUCAUUCUAUUUGAUGCUUCCUUCAUCCACUACUCCCUUUCCGCCUUGAUUUCUCUUUUCCUGUUCUUCCUCCUUAAGUCACUUCAGACUUAUUGUUGACUCUAUUAAGGUAUGCUUCCUUAAGUCACUGGCUUUCUUUACCACGUUUUAAAUACUCUAUUGUUGACUCUAUUAAGGUAUGCUUCUUAUUUUUGGUUUCUUUUAAGAUUCAAUUUUGAAUUCUUAUGUUUGCAAUUUCGAGCUAAAAUGUUCCAAUUGUUCUCCACUGGGUUCAUAUGUAAUUUGGGUCUGCUGGAUGGAUGACCCAAAAAUUAGACAAAAAAAUGUGAAAUGAUACGAUUUUUGAAAAAAAAAUGUCGAAUGACCCUUUGUUGACGUCAAAUUCAGGUGAAAUUACCAAAAUAUACUCGCUCGCAUCGGAAAAAGUAGUCUCACUCUCGCUCGUCUCGCUCUCUCUUCAUUUACUCACAAAUCACUAGCUCGUCUCGCUCUCUUUUUGUUUCCUCACUUGUAAAAUCAAUCUUCUCUCUCGUCUCUUGCUCAUUGGAGUUGGUCGCAUCGAAGCUGCUCGUGUGAACUCGUCGUGUUGGAGAAAAAGAAGACGUACAAAGAAGAAGUAGCCGAAGAAGAAGAACAUGUAGAGGAAGAUUUCUUACAACAGAGAAAAAGAGGAAAAAGAAAAAAGAAGGGCAAUAAGAUUUUGCAAAUUUAUGCUUUCAAAAUAGUCUCCAAUUCUAUUGUUCAAGUGCGGAUUGAAAAGUUUUCUAACAAAACAAAAUAUUCUAGCUAUGAAGUAAGUUACCAAAAGGUUAAAGAAUUAGAGGUUCAGGUUGCUUGCUUGAGUUCAAGUUGGAUGUGGUGAUGUCGACGACUUCAUAAGGAAAAAGCUAGGCGUAGUGAAACCGACGAUGGGACUUCACGAAGUAUUUAAGUUCAAAAAGACAAUUAUUUAGGGUCAACAAGUAAUUUUAAGAUUUUAGAGUCUUGUACUUAUCAUAAUUACCAAUUUUGUUUAUCUUUGUAAGUUGGAAUAUAGCUUGAGGAAUGAAUAGUUAUAUUAAUUUUGUUGAA